Molecule: ribosomal RNA, 755 nt
Filed under: uncultured soil bacterium
Lineage: Bacteria
Description: bacterial SSU rRNA
Rfam family: Bacterial small subunit ribosomal RNA
Source: RNAcentral
GAUGAACGCUAGCGGCAGGCUUAAUACAUGCAAGUCGUGGGGCAGCAGGUCCCGUAGCAAUACGGGAUGCCGGCGACCGGCAAACGGGUGCGGAACACGUACGCAACCUACCCAUAACUGGGGGAUAGCCCGGGGAAACCCGGAUUAAUACCCCGUAACAUAUUGAUAAGGCAUCUUAUUAAUAUUAUAGCUCCGGCGGUUAUGGAUGGGCGUGCGCCUGAUUAGGUAGUUGGCGGGGUAACGGCCCACCAAGCCUACGAUCAGUAACUGGUGUGAGAGCACGACCAGUCACACGGGCACUGAGACACGGGCCCGACUCCUACGGGAGGCAGCAGUAAGGAAUAUUGGUCAAUGGACGCAAGUCUGAACCAGCCAUGCCGCGUGGAGGAUGAAGGUCCUCUGGAUUGUAAACCUCUUUUAUCUGGGAAGAAAUCCAUAAAUUCUUUUAUGGUUGACGGUACCAGGUGAAUAAGCACCGGCUAACUCCGUGCCAGCAGCCGCGGUAAUACGGAGGGUGCAAGCGUUAUCCGGAUUCACUGGGUUUAAAGGGUGCGUAGGCGGAUUGGUAAGUCCGUGGUGAAAUCCCCGAGCUUAACUCGGGAACUGCCAUGGAUACUAUCAGUCUUGAAUAUCUUGGAGGUAAGCGGAAUAUGUCAUGUAGCGGUGAAAUGCUUAGAUAUGACAUAGAACGCCAAUUGCGAAGGCAGCUUACUACGCGAUAAUUGACGCUGAGGCACGAAAGCGUGGGGAUCAAA